Molecule: ribosomal RNA, 708 nt
Filed under: uncultured bacterium
Lineage: Bacteria
Description: bacterial SSU rRNA
Rfam family: Bacterial small subunit ribosomal RNA
Source: RNAcentral
UGCAGUCGAGGGGCAGCAUCAUCAAAGCUUGCUUUGAUGGAUGGCGACCGGCGCACGGGUGAGUAACACGUAUCCAACCUGCCGACAACACUGGGAUAGCCUUUCGAAAGAAAGAUUAAUACCGGAUGGCAUAGUUUUCCCGCAUGGGAUAAUUAUUAAAGAAUUUCGGUUGUCGAUGGGGAUGCGUUCCAUUAGGCAGUUGGCGGGGUAACGGCCCACCAAACCUACGAUGGAUAGGGGUUCUGAGAGGAAGGUCCCCCACAUUGGAACUGAGACACGGUCCAAACUCCUACGGGAGGCAGCAGUGAGGAAUAUUGGUCAAUGGACGAGAGUCUGAACCAGCCAAGUAGCGUGAAGGAUGACUGCCCUAUGGGUUGUAAACUUCUUUUAUACGGGAAUAAAGUGAGCCACAUGUGGCUUUUUGUAUGUACCGUAUGAAUAAGGAUCGGCUAACUCCGUGCCAGCAGCCGCGGUAAUACGGAGGAUUCGAGCGUUAUCCGGAUUUAUUGGGUUUAAAGGGAGCGUAGGCGGGUUGUUAAGUCAGUUGUGAAAGUUUGCGGCUCAACCGUAAAAUUGCAGUUGAUACUGGCGACCUUGAGUGCAACAGAGGUAGGCGGAAUUCGUGGUGUAGCGGUGAAAUGCUUAGAUAUCACGAAGAACUCCGAUUGCGAAGGCAGCUUACUGGAUUGUAACUGACGCUGAUGCUCG